RNAcentral lists this ribosomal RNA (592 nucleotides) under uncultured bacterium. RNAcentral describes it as "bacterial SSU rRNA". It matches the Rfam family "Bacterial small subunit ribosomal RNA", at positions 232 to 834 of the family's 1533-position model. The record is from RNAcentral.
CGCGGCCUAUCAGCUUGUUGGUGGGGUGAUGGCCUACCAAGGCGACGACGGGUAGCCGGCCUGAGAGGGUGUCCGGCCACACUGGGACUGAGAUACGGCCCAGACUCCUACGGGAGGCAGCAGUGGGGAAUAUUGCACAAUGGGCGCAAGCCUGAUGCAGCGACGCCGCGUGGGGGAUGACGGCCUUCGGGUUGUAAACCUCUUUCACCAUCGACGAAGCCUUCGGGUGACGGUAGGUGGAGAAGAAGCACCGGCCAACUACGUGCCAGCAGCCGCGGUAAUACGUAGGGUGCGAGCGUUGUCCGGAAUUACUGGGCGUAAAGAGCUCGUAGGUGGUUUGUCGCGUUGUUCGUGAAAUGCCACAGCUUAACUGUGGGCGUGCGGGCGAUACGGGCAGACUGGAGUACUGCAGGGGAGACUGGAAUUCCUGGUGUAGCGGUGGAAUGCGCAGAUAUCAGGAGGAACACCGGUGGCGAAGGCGGGUCUCUGGGCAGUAACUGACGCUGAGGAGCGAAAGCGUGGGGAGCGAACAGGAUUAGAUACCCUGGUAGUCCACGCCGUAAAUGGUGGGUACUAGGUGUGGGUUUCCUUC